RNAcentral lists this ribosomal RNA (800 nucleotides) under uncultured bacterium. Its description in RNAcentral is "bacterial SSU rRNA". It matches the Rfam family "Bacterial small subunit ribosomal RNA", at positions 8 to 818 of the family's 1533-position model. The record is from RNAcentral.
AGAGUUUGAUCCUGGCUCAGAAUGAACGUUGGCGGCGUGGAUUAGGCAUGCAAGUCGCGCGAGAAAUUUCCUUCGGGAGAUGGACAGCGGCGAAAGGGAGAGGAAUAAGUAGAAAUCUGCCCUCGGGACGGGGAUAGCGGCGGGAAACUGCCGGUAAUACCCGAUAACAUCUUCGGAUCAAAUGGUGUGAUUCCGCCUGGGGAUGAGUCUACUUCCUAUUAGCUAGUUGGCGGGGUAAUGGCCCACCAAGGCAACGAUGGGUAGCGGGUGUGAGAGCACGAUCCGCCUCACUGGGACUGAGACACUGCCCAGACACCUACGGGUGGCUGCAGUCGAGAAUCUUCGGCAAUGGGGGAAACCCUGACCGAGCGACGCCGCGUGCGGGAUGAAGGCCCUCGGGUUGUAAACCGCUGUCGUAAGGGAACAAAUCUAUGAGGGUACUCCCUUGUAGUUGAGUGAUCUUAGGAGGAAGGACGGGCUAAGUUCGUGCCAGCAGCCGCGGUAAGACGAACCGUCCGAACGUUAUUCGGUAUCACUGGGCUUAAAGAGUUCGUAGGCGGCCCGACAGGUGAGGUGUGAAAUCCCUCGGCUCAACCGAGGAAUUGCGCUUCAAACCGUCAGGCUUGAGGGAGAUAGAGGUGAGCGGAACAGAUGGUGGAGCGGUGAAAUGCGUUGAUAUCAUCUGGAACACCGGUGGCGAAAGCGGCUCACUGGAUCUUUUCUGACGCUGAGGCACGAAAGCUAGGGGAGUGAACGGGAUUAGAUACCCCGGUAAUCCUAGCCGUAAACACUGAGCACUG